UCGUAAGGUAGUAAGACCCCUCAAAGACGAUGAGGUUGAUAGGUCGGAGGUGGAAGCACGGUAACGUGUGGAGCUGACCGAUACUAAUAGGUCGAGGGCUUGAUCUC
Molecule: ribosomal RNA, 107 nt
Filed under: Bacillota bacterium
Lineage: Bacteria; Bacillati; Bacillota
Description: Firmicutes bacterium (gut metagenome) partial 23S ribosomal RNA
Rfam family: Bacterial large subunit ribosomal RNA
Source: RNAcentral